Molecule: long non-coding RNA, 642 nt
Organism: Mirounga angustirostris (Northern elephant seal)
Lineage: Eukaryota; Metazoa; Chordata; Mammalia; Carnivora; Phocidae
Exons: 4
Source: RefSeq, a predicted model, not a curated record
AAUCUCUUGAACAGGAGACAUGUUAACGCACACAAUGAGCCACAUGGCUCCCUAUGGACUAAGCAGCAGGGAAAGCUGAUCUACCAGGAGUGCAGGGAAAGAAGGAAGCAUAUGUCUCAGAAGAAGAUCACUGGCCUCUUCAAAGAAAAACGUCUGCAUGGUUGUGUUCACGUGUGGGUGCUGUGGGUAAAGAGGCUGAAUGCCACAAUGAGGGAAUUCAGUUGAAAAGUCACAGGGACAUACCUAGAUGCAAGGAGGGAAGAAUAAGGAGGGCAGAAGGAGAGAGAGAAUCCCAAGCAGACUUGGUGCUGAGCAUGGAGCUGGACAUGGGACUUGAAGUCACAAUGCUGAGAUCAUAACCUGAGCCUAAAUCAAGAGUCGGACUCUUAACCAACUGAGUCAACCAGACACACCUGCUGAAUGAAUGGAAACAUUAAGAAAAAACAAGCUGGGGGCACCUGGGUGGCUCAGUCGUUAAGCGUCUGCCUUCAGCUCAGGUCAUGAUCCCAGGGUCCUGGGAUCGAGCCCUGCAUCGGGCUCCCUGCUCCGCGGAGAGCCUGCUUCUCCCUCUCCCACACCCCCUGCUUGUGUUCCCUCUCUCUCGCUGUGUCUGUCAAAUAAAUAAAAAUUUAAAAAUCUUAA